GUGGAUUGGUUGACGAGUUUGUAAACACUCCCAGGUUAAGCGUGCUUAGGUGAGAGUAGUACCAGGAUAGGUGCCUUCCUAGGAAGUCUCACCAAAUCCAUC
This is a non-coding RNA of Cephalotus follicularis, 102 nucleotides long. Lineage: Eukaryota; Viridiplantae; Streptophyta; Magnoliopsida; Oxalidales; Cephalotaceae. The record is from Rfam.